This 102-nucleotide transfer RNA is filed under the name Enhygromyxa salina. RNAcentral's name for it is "tRNA-Arg". The record is from RNAcentral. Lineage: Bacteria; Pseudomonadati; Myxococcota; Nannocystales; Nannocystaceae.
UCGUGAAUUUGUUCGCGGCGCUGCAGGACAAGCUUGGCUACGGCCCGGGUGAUCGGUGGGUGACGGUGGCCUCGCCGAGCUUCGAUACUUCGGUGCUCGAGC